Molecule: unclassified non-coding RNA, 250 nt
Filed under: plant metagenome
Description: partial contains small subunit ribosomal RNA, internal transcribed spacer 1, and 5.8S ribosomal RNA
Source: RNAcentral
GUAGGUGAACCUGCGGAAGGAUCAUUAACACGUAUCCAACGUAUCCACCCCUGCGCGGCUCUAUAUGUGAGUGGUAGAAACCAACUUUGUAAAACCUGCGUGGUUGCAAAGGUGCAAAUCCCAUGAUCAGAGGCAUGUUGGUCUGCGUGACUGAUAUGACACAGACCUAAUCAGCCUGCGCGGUUGAUGGUUAUCUGGUUAGAAAGAUAUGGUAAUACUACUUCUGCGAGAAUACAGCUUCAUAGCAGAC